This 140-nucleotide ribosomal RNA is filed under the name Orobanche crenata. Lineage: Eukaryota; Viridiplantae; Streptophyta; Magnoliopsida; Lamiales; Orobanchaceae. RNAcentral also lists the same sequence under 1 other name. The record is from RNAcentral.
AUUCUGGUGUCCUAGGCGUAGAGGAACCACACCAAUCCAUCCCGAAUUUGGUGGUUAAACUCGACUGUGGUGACGAUACUGUAGGGGAGGUCCUGUGGAAAAAUAGUUCGACGCCAGGAUGCUUAACACCAUGGCUGGGU